AUCUUUAUAUAUGAAUGUUUUUACUUGUUGAUUAGGGCUCGUGAGGAAGAGGCACUAUAGAGGGGUAAGACAACGACCAUGGGGAAAGUGGGCAGCUGAAAUUCGUGAUCCGCAAAAGGCAGCACGGGUGUGGCUCGGGACAUUUGAGACUGCUGAAGCUGCGGCUUUAGCUUAUGAUGAAGCAGCUCUUAAGUUCAAAGGAAGCAAAGCCAAACUCAAUUUCCCUGAGAGAGCUCAACUAGCAAGUAACACUAAUUCUAUUACCGGUCCACCAAACUAUUACUCUUCUAAUAAUCAAAUUUACUACUCAAAUCCGCAGACUAAUCCGCAAACCAUACCAUAUUAUAACCAAUACUACUACAACCAAUAUCUUCUUCAAGGAGGAAAUAGUAACGAUGCAGUCAGCUAUAGCUUGGCCGGUGGGGAAACUGGAGGCUCAAUGUAUAAUCAUCAGACGUUAUCUACUACAAAUUCUUCAUCUACUGUUGGAUCUUCAAGGCAACAAGAUGAACAAGAUUACGCCAAAUAUAUGCGUUUUGGGGAUUCUUCAUCUCCUAAUUCUGGUUUUUGAGAUACUCAAUAAACUGGUAAUAAGGGAUUUGGGCACUUGUUAUGAGGGGAUCAUAUGUUUCUUGAGUUUUUUUUUUUGUAUUUUCAUUAUGCGUGUGUUGUUUGUGAUCACUUUGUUUAUUUCUUCUUUCAAGAGUUUUCAUGGGUUCUUUGUUUACAACCCUUGCAUUUGGAUUUAUUUAAGUUUUUUUUUUUUUUUUUUUUUGGUGGGGUAUGUCGUUUUGUAUUAAAGAAGAAAUCAUCUAUACACAAGAGUGUUACCCUUUAAAUUUAUUGGAGUUUCCUCAAGCAAACCCACAUGUACACACAUAAAAUUAUAGCAUUAACUGCUAAAAUUCCGGGUUGCAUUGUUUAUGUGACCAUUAUAUUGCCAACGCAGAUAUAACAAAUCAAAGCUUUUUAUAUAUUUGCCUUCAUUGAAUGAAAAUACAUGUUACCGUGUAUCUUACAAGACAUAAGGCAAAGUAGCAUACCUACAUGACGGUACUAGCUAGUAUAAGAUUGAACAUUUUGUUGAGAGUCGUUUAGAUUUAAUAUUUUUCGUCCCAUUUUCUUGGACUAAUUAAGAUGACAGCCAUGAUUUUUAUGACCAGAAUUUAGCCUUUCCCCCGCAUGCAUUAUAUUUGUUUAUUGAGUUUGAAGAAAAAAACAUCAAAUACAUGUAUACGUUUGAUGCAAUUUUCGCAUAAAGUUUUUUUUUUUAAUUUUAAAUUUUAAUAUAAUAUAUAUAAGUAAUGUGAAUUAACAAAUUCAUUUAUAUCAGUUUGGUUUUUGAGUAAUCAUAGAUCAAGUUUACACAAUUACAAUUUCCUUUCCACUUUUAUUGGACUGUUUUGUGGGAUCUUCAGUCAGUUUGAAUUCACAAAAUUACUACGUACGUGUAAUAGUUUAUGGCCUGGUUAUUCGAAAACUUUAUUCAACAUUACUACGUAGACUUUAGUUAGAAUUAAUGUCGUAUUAGUUUUACGGCUGUUGACAAAAAAGGGUGUAUCUUGAUAAUAUUAACAAGAAUUAUUGAAGUAAUAUUCGUUAUACUCAGGGUUUCAAAAGUAGUUUGUUUAAUAUUAAAUCCUGUAUAACGAGACUUUUACAAGCAAUUUUCUAGUUCUUAAAGAUAGAGAUACUGGCCUUAGAAGUAACAACUAACAAGUAUGAAAACUUGACCAGAACAGAUUCCCCGAGCGUUUGUUUCAAAUCCUUGACUUUUGUCAAUCCAAAGAGAUUGACUCCUUUUGACCCAUGUUUUUUUAUUUAAUUUUUCAGUUUAUAAUAUUUAUUAAACCAUUCCUAACAUAUAUAUGUCAUUUUCAAUAUAUAAUGAUAUAGGAAAUGACGUUAAAAAUAUAUAUAUAGAAAUGUGUCACAGAUUCUUAAAUGUACAUACAUAUGAUUAAUACUUAAAUUUAGAAGAGAAUUAGAAUUCAAGUAGUGUUUAAUGUUAAUGUUUUUUUUUUUUUUUGAAAAAGGCUUGUUAAUGUUAAUGUUGUCAUUGUGUCACAAUUCUAUUUCAAUCCUAUAAAUUGUAUGAUGGUGAAAAACCUAAAUUUAGAGAGCAUCAACAACUAGAGUUAGAUUCAAUGUACUUAUAUGGGAUUCAGAAAUGAAAAAAUCAUUUCAUUUUGAAAUUGAAAGACUCAUUUUUCUUAUCAUCAUAUCAAGUGAAAUGAUGGUUACGAUGAUAAUGAAUAUCGUUAUUAUUAAAUACUUUCCGACCAACGCGUUAUCUCCUCUUUGUUUGUCUUCUCUUAUACAGUUAUACUUAAUAGUUUUUUCGUCUUUUAUGCUCGUUUCUUCAUUUUUUACAUGCGUGUUAGAUCAUUAGCGUAAAUGGUUAGUGCUUAAAACUUAUUGGUAUGCGAAUCUCGGCCGCCGACAAAUAUUUGUACUUCAACUUCAAGACAUUCGUGGAACUUCAAAAGCAAUCUUUCGUUUUUUCAACAAACAAAAAAACCUUUGCAUUCGUUUCGUGAAUGAGGCGCGUGUAUGACACCUCUAUGACUAUAGUCUAUAGCGAAGCUACACAGGUCUAUUAACCUUGUUUUUCUUAAUAAAAUUUCCCGAUAUAUUAAUAUAUAUUAACAAAUCGUUAAAUUUAAAAAUUUUAAUCAACAGUGAAAGAUGAAUAUUAGCCUGAAUAUGUUAACGGAUCAACUAAUUAAUUAGCUAGGCAUAUGAACUGUGGGAUCGCCUCUGGGCGGUUUAGAUAAAGUAGUAUUUGUCGGGAAAACAGUGACCGAUUGCUACACAAUUUUCAAAUGUAAAGACGAAAAAGUUCCACUAUGUUACAAACACGAGUCACAAAUAUUUAGAAAAGAGUUAUUUUAUACAAAUUAAGACAGCCAGAUUAUCAUUAUGUUUUUUAACGAAUUGUUAUAGAAAAAAUUAAACAACUUUUGUAGAAGUUCAUGUUCUUUUAACAUGGUACGUUACAUUAUUCCAAAUAUUCAAAAGUCUUUAAUUUGAUAUUUCAUAUUUAUAUUUACGAUUACGAAUAUCGACCGUUGAUAAGAAAACAGUUUAAAUAACAAAACACAAAUACAGCUACUAUAUAAAAUUUAUCCCGACAAAAAGAAUAUAUGGUUAAAGAGAAUCAACAAAUUACAUCGUUGACAAAUGAAGGGAAUUUGGGGAUGGCCACACCCGCACGCAUGCCGGCCUCACCGCCCUGUCAACCUUUGCGGCCUUCUAAGCAAACUCUCGCAAAUCUCAACCACUGCCUUUUCUCCUAUUUCAAACUUAUCGGCCCAAAGACGUAUAUGAAUACGUGCAUGCAUACCAUAUGUAUACACUACUAUUAAAUAAUUUAAAAGACGUAUGUAUGUACGUACACGUCCAGAGGGAUGUUCAAAUUGCACCGAUUCAUGCACUCCUCAUUUUGUAAAUAACGCAGCCCACUUCUCGUUCACAAAUAGUCUGGCCCAUUUUACAAUCAUCCAAAGCGAGGUUUACUCAAGUUGAUUUGCUAAAUACCAAAGAUUCAAAAAUGUUUAAGCCACGUUUUACAUUAUAUUUGUUAAUCUUUUUAGUUCUUCAAGGCGACGAUUGUUGAAAUUCGUCGGUGAAAGCAUAAGCAUAUAAGCAUGCAUGUACUUUGUGUUAAAAUAUUUUUUGAUGGAGGAGACGUUUCUGUUCCAAAAAUGUCUGAGUUGAUAAAAGUGAAAAGAAACAUGGAUAGAAUCAGAAUCUUUUGUUUUGUAAAAUGUAAAGAGGAUCUUAUAAUAUGUAGAAUCAGAAUCUAUUGCUUUCGUACGGAAAAAACGGCAUCUUCUUCUGCUAUGUAAGUCAGAUUCUUUUGAGAUUUCACAUUUGAAACACAGCAUAGAGCGACAAGAAACUACAAAAUUGUAAAGGAAUGGCAAAAAAAAAAAAAAAAAGUCCGACCUGCCGGAUUCGAACCAGCGACCUAAAGAUUUGCUGUCACAGACUACAGUCUUCCGCUCUACCAACUGAGCUAAGGUCGGUUGUUGAAAAUGUGUACAAAUUAUUAUUAAUUAACUAAGUAAUAAGGUAGUCAUGUCCUCAUAUUUUCAAACCGGAGACAGAACCGGCAAGAAGAUAUCACUACCAAAUUAUAUAUCAAUCACCUAACUAAACAAUGGCUAACAAAUUAUUUAAAUUAAAGUUUUUUGUAUCUCUCUAUGGAAGUUUUUAAUACGGUCAAACGCACUUCUUAUCAAGCACAUUUGACCAUUUCGGUUUGGUUCAAACCGGAAACGCACGGUUUUCAAUUAGACAGAUUCGCACGUGUCGUGUGGGAAUAGCACGUGGAGAAUAGCAAAAGGUCAGGCGAGGGAAGAUAGAGAGAUAUGUUACCGUCACUUGCGGUUGACAGAUGACGGAGCCGGAUUUUGCUUCACCGGCCAUCAUCCAUCGUUUAUAGCCACUGAGCCUCACACACACAUUAACCCUUUUCGUUUCUGACUCCAAAGUGAAGUAAAUUUCCAAACUUUGAACUUUUGGAGAUUGUGUUUCGUCUUCGACGUGAAGACUCUUUCGUUGCUCUUGUGUUGUGAGCAGGUCUUCUUUCUCAAAACCCAGGACUCACUCUCUGUAUAAGAAGAUGAAUGAUCCUUAGAAUCAUUCAAAUCUAUUGUAAAGCAUUCUAAUUGGGGCAAUAUCGAUUGAUCGCGAAUCAGCAAUGGAAUCAUCGAAGCCCAAAAACCGUAAUCCGAUGAAGAAACCUGUAUCCGUCACGAUGGAGCAUGUUCUAUUGGCGUUACGUGAGACUAGGGAUGAGAGAGAGAUCAGGAUUCGUAGUUUGUUUGAUUUCUUCGAUAAUUCGAAUUUAGGGUUCUUAGAUUAUGCCCAGAUCGAAAAGGGUCUUGCUUCGCUUCAGAUUCCUCCUGAGUACAAGUACGCUAGAGAUUUGUUUAGAGUCUGCGACGCCAAUCGCGAUGGGCGUGUGGAUUACCAGGAGUUUCGUCGAUACAUUGAUGCUAAGGAGCUUGAGCUGUAUAGGAUUUUCCAAGCCAUUGAUGUUGAGCACAAUGGCUGCAUUUUGCCUGAGGAGCUCUGGGAGGCUCUUGUUAAGGCCGGUAUGUGAUUCUGUUACUGUUCCAUUUCUACUGUUACUUUUUUCUUUUGAUUAUAAUGUAAAUUUUGUACCUUUAUGAGAUUUGUGGAUUUUGAUUGUUUGUGGUGAAUUUGCUAUAAUAGAAUUGUGUUGAUGCUACAACGUGUUCUUGGUUAAUCGGUCUUGUAGUCAGCUCUUGCAGUAACUUUUUAUGUUGUCUUAUUUGAUUGUUGAGUAUCACCAACCUAUAUAAGCCGCACAGUUAUGUUCUUGUAGGCAUUGAGAUCGAUGAUGAGGAACUCGCUCGUUUUGUGGAGCAUGUUGAUAAGGACAAUAAUGGGACUAUAACGUUUGAAGAAUGGAGAGAUUUCCUUUUGUUAUACCCUCAUGAAGCCACUAUUGAAAACAUUUAUCAUCACUGGGAAAGGGUGUGCUUGAUAGACAUUGGGGAGCAAGCUGUUAUACCGGAUGGUAUAAGCAAACAUGUGAAAAGAAGCAGAUUACUUCUCGCUGGAGGACUAGCCGGAGCUGUUUCUAGAACUGCAACCGCACCUCUUGAUCGUCUGAAGGUUGUUUUGCAAGUUCAAAGGGCACACGCAGGGGUCCUCCCGACUAUUAAGAAGAUAUGGAGAGAAGAUAAGUUGAUGGGUUUCUUUAGAGGUAAUGGGUUAAAUGUCAUGAAGGUUGCUCCUGAAAGCGCCAUUAAAUUUUGUGCUUACGAAAUGCUAAAACCCAUGAUUGGAGGGGAGGAUGGUGAUAUUGGUACAAGUGGGAGGCUUUUGGCAGGUGGAAUGGCUGGUGCAUUGGCUCAAACCGCUAUUUACCCUAUGGAUCUCGUGAAGACUCGGUUACAGACUUGUGUAAGUGAAGGUGGAAAGGCACCGAAGUUGUGGAAGCUCACAAAAGAUAUAUGGGUACGAGAGGGACCUCGGGCGUUCUACAAGGGUCUCUUUCCUUCUCUUCUUGGGAUUAUUCCUUAUGCAGGAAUUGACCUCGCUGCAUAUGAAACGCUAAAAGACUUGUCCAGAACAUAUAUUCUUCAGGACACUGGUUAGAGCACUAAAGCCGUAGAUCCUUAUUCUUAGUUGCAUAUGAUUGUUCUAUGAUUUAUACUAAAACAGCUCAAACUUCUUCAGAGCCGGGUCCUCUGAUACAGCUCAGCUGUGGAAUGACAUCAGGAGCUCUUGGAGCAUCAUGUGUUUACCCGUUACAGGUAGUAAGAACAAGGUAAAAACCCGAAAAUCCGAAAACUUGUUACAGAUUUUUUUUAUAUCUUGCCUGUGAUUGUAAAAAAAGUUUGAUCCUUGUCGUGUCAGAAUGCAAGCGGAUAGUUCAGAUACGACAAUGAAGCAAGAGUUUAUGAAAACGAUGAAAGGCGAAGGUCUGAGAGGUUUCUACAGAGGACUCUUACCCAAUCUUCUCAAAGUAGUUCCAGCGGCAAGCAUCACGUACAUUGUUUAUGAAGCUAUGAAGAAAAAUAUGGCUCUUGAUUAGCCAAUACGGUCUUGAAAUUUUCUCCGGGUUAGUUUAUUCUUUUUUGUUCCCAAGGGGUCACUCUAGGAGAUUAUGUGAGAAAAACAAAAACAAGACGAGAUUGUAACAUGUCUUCGGGUCGUUUGAUGUGUUCAAGACUCAAGUCUGUAAAACUCACAUCUCCAAAAAAGAUUUUGAAUGGUUAAUGAACUCACAGUUCCCUCAUUAAUCUUAUUAUUUAUUACCAAGGGAAAUUGAUAAAUCAAUAUCUCCUUCGGACAGAUUAAGUAAUUAAAUAAAUAAAUAAACUACUAGUAAUUAGUUAACUUUAUAAAAAUAGAAAAUAUUAGAUAGUUGGUUCAUUCGAAGAGAUGUGAAAUGGUUCGGGUGGUAAUAAUGAUCCAAGAUUUAAGGAUUCCUGGAGCUGCUAAGUCUUAAUCUUUGCGCUCUACUCAGAAAAUUGCUGCAACAAAACAUGGAGGCAAGACACAUGAACUCGAGAUUACAAAAGAAAAUAUAUAAAAGUAAAAAAAAAUAGAUGAUAUUGAGAUGGAUCAUACUUCCAAGAGAUGUCUCCGGCCACCAUCCAAUGUCCAUCUCUAUCUAAAAACUUCAACGUAUGAUGAUUCCCAAAAACAGAGCUAUUUCCCUCGCCGUCUACUAGAUCGAAUCAAAGAAAGUCUAUUAGUACUAAAAACAAUAUUUUUGUGUUUUAUUGGUUAACAGAUUUUAAUUGAUUUGGGAAUUUAAGUUUGUAGAGCAGAUCACAGCAGCCAAAUAGAAGACAAUAAUGUUUUUGAGCAAGUGAUUUAGAUUUUUUUUGUGUUAUUAGUCCAAUGGUCGUGCAUUGCAUUAAAACCCUCCCUGAAUUCAUUUAUAGUAUUUUGAUGUCAUUAAAAUUUAGAUAACAGUUUUGGAAAAACAAAACAUGGAAAUGAAGUAUUUUAUAAUUUUCUUCAAUUUAAAACAAUUUUUUAAAAAGUUAUUUACAUCUAAUUGCUGUAUCAAACAUAUCAGACAGAGCGGCUGCAAGACUUUCGUAGUUAUUAAACGCGAAGAUAUUGAUUUUCCUCCCUAUGUAGUUACCCUCUUUGUAAACCUUUACAUAGCGAGAUUGAGAUGAUGACGAGUUCAUUGAUGCGAUGCGACCGACGUUGAUUCGAUCGAUUGAUAUUAACCCAAAGUUAUAUGUGAUUCUACCAUUUAUAUUCUUAAUUUAUAAUUAUUACUGAUUCCACGUUUCAAUUUAUAUAAAUAUUUAGGUGUUUGUAUUAACUCCAAAUAAAUAUGUAUAGUUAUGUUUUUAUACAACAAUUAGUAUCAUAUUAUCUAACUGUUGAUUACGGAUUAAUUAUGAAAACAACUAAAAGAGAAAGAUAUCUAUCAACUAAAAAAGUAAUAGAAAAAUUAUUAAUUACAAAGAGAUACUGCAUUUUUUACAUUAUAAAUUAAAUUUUAUAUUAAUCGUGAUCAUUUAGUUCUCUUAUUAAAUAUGAAGUGUAUAAUCUAUUUAAGUAUAGGAUAUGAUUUGAUUAAAUGGAAAACAAGACAUUAAAGUAUAUAUAUGUGUAUAUAAUUGAUUUAGAAAUAUAAUAUGCUUACUUAAAUUCGGACAUAUAUUUUAUGGUGAUAAACUUUAAUUGUAGUUCGAUGGAAAUAUUUUCUGAUAAAUAGUUUGAUAGACAUAGUUAUCAGCAAUAAAUUUAUACUGUUUCCGUUGACUUAAAAAUAUAACAUAUUUGAGUUAAAAAAACAAAAAAUAUAACAUAUUUAACAUAUUCGUUUUUUUUUGUCUCACUGUUGAUAUAUAUAUAUAUAUAUAUAUCUCAAUUAUUGGUUUUUUUGUGAUCAUUUGUAUUUUUUAUUUAGACUGAAAGAUAUGUUUCAGAAUGAUGACAACAAUGUUAUACCUAACCAUAUAUAGAUUUAAAUGUUGUUUCAGCUAUAACAUAUAUUUAUUUUAAAAAUCAGCGAGCCUUUAUUUACGUUUUUUUUUAUCGAAGAUAGAUUAAAACUACAAUUUAGAAAUUAGAGUAAAAUGAGUAAUUUAAACAAAAACUUGCAAAUCAACAAAGUUCUUAAAUAACUGAUUGUCAGGCGAAAAUAAGAAGCAAAAAACGUGAUAUAUAGUCCCCAAAACAAGAGAAUUGGUUAGAAGGGGUUGAUUGUGAUGAAUUAGGAGUCAUUCAUUAUAGCAACGACUUCGUUCGAUCGGUCGUGGAGUCAGAGUCAGAGUCAACUAUACUUGUGAAUCGUAACAUGGAUCUUAAUAUAUAAAGAUAGUUUUAGAAGAAAACAACAAGAUCAUAAAACUAUUAAAAACAAUCGGGAUACUUCUCGUUAGAGAAUCUACACAUCACCGAAAAAAGAAGAGAAAACAGAAAGAAAAUUAAAGAGAAAAUACGAAGAAGAAAGGCGUAGCCUUCCCUUUGCCUCUGUUGACUUGCCGUUUGUAUCCUUUUCCUCUGUUAACCAGAACCAGAGAAAGAUAACACGGAACCGAGCUAACUUCCAUUAGCCGUAGCUCGAAAGCUUCUUAACGUCGUCGUCUUCUUUUUCGGUGUCUUCCUCCAUAUCUCUUUCUCUUCCUUAGAUUAUUUUUAACAAGGAGAGUUAACUGUUAGUGUUUGCUUUAGUCUUCUACGUCUAUCUUCACCCCAUUUAUAAUGCUUCAUCUGGUCCCAUAUCCAAACUUUAUCUUUAGAAUAUAUUAUUCUUAAUUAUUGUUUAAACAAUGUUUUUAACAUGAUAUAUGUCUUGCUAAGUUUUAUUUUUCAGUCCAUGGAAUCUUUUUGAAAGUUAUACCUAACGUCGG
This 9371-nucleotide long non-coding RNA is filed under the name Arabidopsis lyrata. RNAcentral describes it as "long non-coding RNA (ALYR_LNC001170)". Lineage: Eukaryota; Viridiplantae; Streptophyta; Magnoliopsida; Brassicales; Brassicaceae. The record is from RNAcentral.